GCGGAAAUCCUCGACCGCAUUCCAGCUGGCCGUUGGGGACUGCCGAGUGACCUGAUGGGGCCGGUAGUGUUCCUUGCCUCCAGCGCUUCAGAUUAUGUGAAUGGUUAUACCAUUGCCGUGGAUGGCGGUUGGCUGGCGCGUUAAUUCAUUCUUCUUACUUUUAUGACCCUGCCGCAUGGCAGGGUUUUUUAUAUCUGUAGAUCAUCAUAAUCCAUAUCAUGGUUAUGAAAUAAUC
This 235-nucleotide unclassified non-coding RNA is filed under the name uncultured fungus. Its description in RNAcentral is "sequence contains ITS1". Lineage: Eukaryota; Fungi. The record is from RNAcentral.